Molecule: ribosomal RNA, 253 nt
Filed under: uncultured bacterium
Lineage: Bacteria
Description: partial 16S ribosomal RNA
Rfam family: Bacterial small subunit ribosomal RNA
Source: RNAcentral
UACGGGGGGGGCAAGCGUUGUUCGGAAUUACUGGGCGUAAAGGGCUCGUAGGCGGCCAACUAAGUCAUACGUGAAAUCCCUCGGCUUAACCGGGGAACUGCGUCUGAUACUGGAUGGCUUGAGAUUGGGAGAGGGAUGCGGAAUUCCAGGUGUAGCGGUGAAAUGCGUAGAUAUCUGGAGGAACACCGGCGGCGAAGGCGGCUGCCUGGACCAGUCCUGACGCUGAGGCGCGAAAGCUAGGGGAGCAAACAGA